GAUGAAGAACGCAGCAAAAUGCGAUAAGUAAUGUGAAUUGCAGAAUUCAGUGAAUCAUCGAAUCUUUGAACGCACAUUGCGCCCGCCGGUAUUCCGGCGGGCAUGCCUGUUCGAGCGUCAUUUCAACCCUCAAGCCCCCGGGUUUGGUGUUGGGGAUCGGCUCUGCCCUUCUGGGCGGUGCCGCCCCCGAAAUACAUUGGCGGUCUCGCUGCAGCCUCCAUUGCGUAGUAGCUAACACCUCGCAACUGGAACGCGGCGCGGCCAUGCCGUAAAACCCCAACUUCUGAAUGUUGACCUCGGAUCAGGUAGGAAUACCCGCUGAACUUAAGCAUAUCAAUAAGCGGAGGA
This 348-nucleotide unclassified non-coding RNA is filed under the name soil metagenome. RNAcentral's name for it is "partial contains 5.8S ribosomal RNA, internal transcribed spacer 2, and large subunit ribosomal RNA". The stretch from base 1 to 120 matches the Rfam family "5.8S ribosomal RNA", at positions 35 to 154 of the family's 154-position model. The record is from RNAcentral.